This 500-nucleotide ribosomal RNA is filed under the name uncultured bacterium. Its description in RNAcentral is "partial 16S ribosomal RNA". It matches the Rfam family "Bacterial small subunit ribosomal RNA", at positions 28 to 523 of the family's 1533-position model. The record is from RNAcentral.
GACGAACGCUGGCGGCGUGCCUAAUACAUGCAAGUCGAGCGGACCACUUCGGUGGUCAGCGGCGGACGGGUGAGUAACACGUGGGCAACCUGCCUGUAAGACUGGGAUAACACCGGGAAACCGGUGCUAAUACCGGAUAAUCCUUCUCUUCUCAUGAAGAGAAGCUGAAAGACGGUUUCGGCUGUCACUUACAGAUGGGCCCGCGGCGCAUUAGCUAGUUGGUGAGGUAACGGCUCACCAAGGCAACGAUGCGUAGCCGACCUGAGAGGGUGAUCGGCCACACUGGGACGGAGACACGGCCCAGACUCCUACGGGAGGCAGCAGUAGGGAAUCUUCCGCAAUGGGCGAAAGUCUGACGGAGCAACGCCGCGUGAGCGAUGAAGGCCUUCGGGUCGUAAAGCUCUGUUGUCAGGGAAGAACAAGUACCGGAGUAACUGCCGGUACCUUGACGGUACCUGACCAGAAAGCCACGGCUAACUACGUGCCAGCCGCCGCGGUAA